CUCAAGGGAACUCAGCAGUGAUAAACAUUAAGCCAUAAGUGAAAACUUGACUUAGUCAAAGCUAAGAGGGCCGGUAAAACUCGUGCCAGCCACCGCGGUUAUACGAGAGGCCCAAGUUGAAAGAGCCCGGCGUAAAGAGUGGUUAAGCUAGAAUUUAUACUAAAGCCGAACAUCCUCACGGCUGUUAUACGCAUCCGAAGAUAAGAAGCUCAACCACGAAGGUAGCUUUAUAUGUCUGAGCCCACGAAAGCUACGGCACAAACUGGGAUUAGAUACCCCACUAUGCCUAGCCCUAAACAUUGAUAGUACCCCACACCCACUAUCCGCCUGGGAACUACGAGCAGCAGCUUAAAACCCAAAGGACUUGGCGGUGCUUUAAACCCACCUAGAGGAGCCUGUUCUAGAACCGAUACCCCCCGUUCAACCUCACCUUUCCUUGUUUCACCCGCCUAUAUACCGCCGUCGUCAGCUUACCCUGUGAAGGUCUAAUAGUAAGCAAAACUGGCCAAGCCCAGAACGUCAGGUCGAGGUGUAGCGCAUGGGAGGGGAAGAAAUGGGCUACAUUCGCUGCAGCAGCGAAUACGGACGAUGCACUGAAACGUUCAUCUGAAGGAGGAUUUAGCAGUAAGCAGAAAGUAGCGUGUUCCGCUGAAACUGGCCCUAAAGCGCGCACACACCGCCCGUCACUCUCCCCAAGCCCACCAACUUAAUUAACUAAAACCUAAUAAUCGCAA
RNAcentral lists this ribosomal RNA (734 nucleotides) under Lycodes lavalaei (Laval's eelpout). Its description in RNAcentral is "partial 12S ribosomal RNA". It matches the Rfam family "Bacterial small subunit ribosomal RNA", at positions 337 to 1447 of the family's 1533-position model. The record is from RNAcentral. Lineage: Eukaryota; Metazoa; Chordata; Actinopteri; Perciformes; Zoarcidae.